GACGAACGCUGGCGGCGUGCUUAACACAUGCAAGUCGAACGAAGUGGCGAACGGGUGAGUAACGCGUAAUCAACCUGCCCUUCCGAGGGGGACACCAGUUGGAAACGACUGCUAAUACCGCAUACUGAAGGAGUGGAUUGCGUCUUAUUAGCUAGUUGGAGGGGUAACGGCCCACCAGGGCGAUGAUCAGUAGCCGGGGUGAGAGGAUGAACGGCCACAUUGGGACUGAGACACGGCCCAGACUCCUACGGGAGGCAGCAGUGGGGAAUCUUCCGAAAUGGACGAAAGUCUGACGGAGCAACGCCGCGUGAGUGAUGACGGCCUUCGGGUUGUAAAGCUCUGUUAAUCGGGACGCGGUACCGGAAUAGAAAGACACGGCUAACUACGUGCCAGCAGCCGCGGUAAUUC
This 408-nucleotide ribosomal RNA is filed under the name uncultured bacterium. Its description in RNAcentral is "partial 16S ribosomal RNA". It matches the Rfam family "Bacterial small subunit ribosomal RNA", at positions 28 to 526 of the family's 1533-position model. The record is from RNAcentral.